This 451-nucleotide ribosomal RNA is filed under the name uncultured bacterium. RNAcentral's name for it is "bacterial SSU rRNA". It matches the Rfam family "Bacterial small subunit ribosomal RNA", at positions 355 to 825 of the family's 1533-position model. The record is from RNAcentral.
UCAAGAAACUUCCACAAUGGGCGAAAGCCUGAUGGAGCGACGUCGCGUGAUGGAUGAAGUGCUUCGGCACGUAAACAUCUUUUUAUGUGGGAUGAAAUUAUUGACAGUACCACAUGAAUAAGGGGCUCCUAACUCUGUGCCAGCAGGAGCGGUAAUACAGAGGCCCCAAGCGUUAUCCGGAAUCACUGGGCGUAAAGGGUGUCGAGGCGGUUGUAUUAGUCGUUCGUAAAAUCUACGAGCUUAACUUGUAGGCGGCGAACGAAACGGUACGACUUGAGGUUUGGAGAGGUGCGUGGAACUCACGGUGUAGGGGUGAAAUCCGUUGAUAUCGUGGGGAACACCAAAGGCGAAGGCAGCGCACUGGCCAAAAUCUGACGCUCACACACGAAAGCUAGGGUAGCGAAGAGGAUUAGAUACCCGCGUAGUCCCUGAGCGGGCUGGCAAGGCGCAU